This 865-nucleotide long non-coding RNA is filed under the name Ficedula albicollis (Collared flycatcher). RNAcentral's name for it is "lncRNA (ENSFALG00000025546.1)". Lineage: Eukaryota; Metazoa; Chordata; Aves; Passeriformes; Muscicapidae. The record is from RNAcentral.
AAAUAUAUUUAUGGGAUUACACCUCUAAAUAGGGGUAAGAUUAAUUAGUAUUAAUGUGGUUUUUCAUGGUCUAUACAUGUGAAAUAUGGAGAAAAGCACAGGGAUUUUCUCUUUUUCCACAGGAGAGGCUGCACUUCUUCAAAAUCUCCUUCAAGAAUCUGCCAAGAACAGAAAGAAGUAGAAAAAGGCAAGAAGAGAACCCAGGCUGAGCCCAAACAUCCCCAGGGGCCUCCAAAACAGGAUGCCAAGGUGGCUGAGCCCCAGAGAUCAGAAGGCAAAGUUUCCACGCUGGAGGAGCCUCCAAACCAAAGUCAGCAAAACAAACAAAAGCCCAAAACCAAAACUUGUGACUAUGAAAAGAUGAGGUAAGAAAUAAAAUUGAUUUUAAAAUCUAUUAUUAUUUUGAGUUAUUUUAUGUGAGAUCAACACAACUUGGAUUUGCUGCUUGCCCAUUGCCAAAGGCUUUGUGUAAUUUUUUACAUCCUGAUAGUGGAUAAAGCCCCCAGGAUUCCAGUUUUUCCACAGUUAUUACUUGAAAACUGAGUAUCUUCCUUGCCCAGCUGAAUUUUAGUCAAUGAAGGCAUAAUUUGAAUAUUUGCUGUUAAAGCAGAGUUUUGUUUCAGUUGUUACAUCCAAAGUUACAGCAAUAAUUGUAACUCACUUUACCUCCUUUCCAAGGCCAACUUGCACCAAAUGAUUUUUCAAACUCCUCUGACACUCCCUGAGCUCAUGAAAAAGAUGAAUUCUGAUUUUUCUGAGUUUUAUAUGAGAAAAGAACUUUCCUUGGAGUCCUUCAGUUGUUUGUUGGCUCCAAUUUUCACUUAAAGCACCAUCAAAAAUCUGAAUUUAAGGCCAGGGAUGCUCC